AUUUGGUCUAAUUGAUAAAAUCAUGUCUAAUAGAGUUCACAAUCUUUACUUUGAAGAUCUGUAGCUAGACGUUAGAACUGUUGACAUGCAAAUAAUUAACUAACUGCAUGUCGUACUUGAAUUACAGGUUUUUUGGUUUCGUCACUCCUUUGUUAUAUGGAAGAAGACUUCAUGGUAGAAGAUAGCGACAGAGUGCUGCCGGAUAAUGAGGUAUUGAAGCGGCAGAUUGAAUCCAUGACACCGAAGUGCAAUUGCGGCAGAUUAUCUCUAUCUUUUCUUUUCAUUUUUCUUAUUAUUGAGUGAGAACAGAAUGAGGAACUAUGUGAUAGUACAUACAACAACUGUAGUAAAAAGAAACUUAUGUUUGCAAUUGUUAAUGACAUAGAUACUUGCAUGUUCUUUGAA
Triticum aestivum (bread wheat) is the source of this 405-nucleotide long non-coding RNA. RefSeq lists it as uncharacterized. The transcript is spliced from 2 exons. The record is from RefSeq and is a predicted model, not a curated record. NCBI's taxonomy places the organism in Eukaryota, Viridiplantae, Streptophyta, Magnoliopsida, Poales, Poaceae.